RNAcentral lists this ribosomal RNA (389 nucleotides) under Microbacterium sp. 10-1B3. RNAcentral's name for it is "bacterial SSU rRNA". It matches the Rfam family "Bacterial small subunit ribosomal RNA", at positions 960 to 1349 of the family's 1533-position model. The record is from RNAcentral. Lineage: Bacteria; Bacillati; Actinomycetota; Actinomycetes; Micrococcales; Microbacteriaceae.
CGCGAAGAACCUUACCAAGGCUUGACAUAUACGAGAACGGGCCAGAAAUGGUCAACUCUUUGGACACUCGUAAACAGGUGGUGCAUGGUUGUCGUCAGCUCGUGUCGUGAGAUGUUGGGUUAAGUCCCGCAACGAGCGCAACCCUCGUUCUAUGUUGCCAGCACGUAAUGGUGGGAACUCAUGGGAUACUGCCGGGGUCAACUCGGAGGAAGGUGGGGAUGACGUCAAAUCAUCAUGCCCCUUAUGUCUUGGGCUUCACGCAUGCUACAAUGGCCGGUACAAAGGGCUGCAAUACCGUGAGGUGGAGCGAAUCCCAAAAAGCCGGUCCCAGUUCGGAUUGAGGUCUGCAACUCGACCUCAUGAAGUCGGAGUCGCUAGUAAUCGCAGAU